GUCUAUGGUCAUGCCACCCCGAACAAGCCCAGUGUCUGAUCUCAGAAGCUAAGCAGGUUUGGGCCUGGUUAGUACUUGGAUGGGAGACCACCUAGGAAGAUCAGGUGCUUUAGGCA
This 116-nucleotide ribosomal RNA is filed under the name Pteropus alecto (black flying fox). The record is from RNAcentral. Lineage: Eukaryota; Metazoa; Chordata; Mammalia; Chiroptera; Pteropodidae.